CAAGUACUUCCUUCGUCUGAAAAUACUUGUUAAAGGAAUGGAUGUAUCUAGACGUAUUUUAGUUUUAGAAACAUCCAUUUUUAUGCAUUUCUUCGACAAAUAUUUUCGGACGGAGAGGAUAUAUA
Molecule: non-coding RNA, 125 nt
Organism: Triticum urartu
Lineage: Eukaryota; Viridiplantae; Streptophyta; Magnoliopsida; Poales; Poaceae
Source: Rfam